GGAUGUAAGGGCAAUCUGGCUGUGACAUCUGUCACUACGUUGAUCACCAGGGUUGAUUCGGCUGAUCUGGCUGGCUAGGCCGGUGCCCCCUUCCUCCCUCACUGACCCAGCUCCAUGUGCGCCCCUCCCAAAGCUAUGUGCUCGGUGGAAGUGGAUGACCUUCCCUGACAGAGGAGGACAUUCUUGGGCCAAGGGUAUUCGAGUAGCUGCACUCCCUGAUAGAACCUCCAAACAAACUCUCAAGGUCCAUUUGUGGGAGAACACAGGGUAGUCAAGCUUCCAAGACUCUAGACACAUCCAAAUGAGACGUUGCAUAUGGCGGUCUGCCUUUCUUA
This is an unclassified non-coding RNA of Ursus americanus (American black bear), 335 nucleotides long. Its record names the gene 7SK. It matches the Rfam family "7SK RNA". Rfam says of the family: 7SK was discovered as an abundant small nuclear RNA in the mid-70s but a possible function has only recently been suggested. Two independent studies have found that 7SK RNA binds the CDK9/cyclin T complex (known as elongation factor P-TEFb). The record is from Ensembl. NCBI's taxonomy places the organism in Eukaryota, Metazoa, Chordata, Mammalia, Carnivora, Ursidae.